This 172-nucleotide ribosomal RNA is filed under the name uncultured bacterium. RNAcentral describes it as "partial 16S ribosomal RNA". It matches the Rfam family "Bacterial small subunit ribosomal RNA", at positions 335 to 524 of the family's 1533-position model. The record is from RNAcentral.
ACUCCUACGGGAGGCAGCAGUGGGGAAUAUUGCGCAAUGGGCGGAAGCCUGACGCAGCGACGCCGCGUGAGGGAUGACGGCCUUCGGGUUGUAAACCUCUUUCAGCAGGGACGAAUGUGACGGUACCUGUAGAAGAAGCACCGGCCAACUACGUGCCAGCAGCCGCGGUAAU